This 157-nucleotide unclassified non-coding RNA is filed under the name Pontivivens marinum. Its description in RNAcentral is "Monaibacterium marinum 6S / SsrS RNA". The record is from RNAcentral. Lineage: Bacteria; Pseudomonadati; Pseudomonadota; Alphaproteobacteria; Rhodobacterales; Paracoccaceae.
CGGGUGCUGUUCCUCUCGACAGGGCUCUACAUUCACGAGGCCUUACUUUUUCUUGAGGGAACUGGCUCUGCGACCGGUCCUGGCCUAUCGCACCUGGUGCCCACCUGGUUUUCCAGGUCCCGAGAAUAAGUUGCCCACCGGUUGCUACGGGCCCGCC